RNAcentral lists this ribosomal RNA (468 nucleotides) under uncultured bacterium. RNAcentral's name for it is "partial 16S ribosomal RNA". It matches the Rfam family "Bacterial small subunit ribosomal RNA", at positions 28 to 507 of the family's 1533-position model. The record is from RNAcentral.
GACGAACGCUGGCGGCGUGCAUAACACAUGCAAGUCGAACGGAAAGGCCCUGCUUUUGUGGGGUGCUCGAGUGGCAAACGGGUGAGUAACACGUGAGUAACCUGCCCUUGACUUUGGGAUAACUUCAGGAAACUGGGGCUAAUACCGGAUAGGAGCUCCUGCUGCAUGGUGGGGGUUGGAAAGUUUCGGCGGUUGGGGAUGGACUCGCGGCUUAUCAGCUUGUUGGUGGGGUAGUGGCUUACCAAGGCUUUGACGGGUAGCCGGCCUGAGAGGGUGACCGGCCACAUUGGGACUGAGAUACGGCCCAGACUCCUACGGGAGGCAGCAGUGGGGAAUAUUGCACAAUGGGCGGAAGCCUGAUGCAGCAACGCCGCGUGCGGGAUGACGGCCUUCGGGUUGUAAACCGCUUUCGCCUGUGACGAAGCGUGAGUGACGGUAAUGGGUAAAGAAGCACCGGCUAACUACGUG